Molecule: ribosomal RNA, 523 nt
Filed under: uncultured bacterium
Lineage: Bacteria
Description: bacterial SSU rRNA
Rfam family: Bacterial small subunit ribosomal RNA
Source: RNAcentral
UCUGUUUACAAGCUCCUGCUUCUGGAUGAGCCCGCGUCCAUCAGCUAGUUGGUAGGGUAAUGGCCUACCAAGGCUACGACGGGUAGCUGGUCUAAGAGGAUGGCCAGCCACACUGGAACUGAGACACGGUCCAGACUCCUACGGGAGGCAGCAGUGGGGAAUCUUGCGCAAUGGGCGAAAGCCUGACGCAGCGACGCCGCGUGGGUGACGAAGGCCUUCGGGUUGUAAAGCCCUGUGGGGUAGAACGAACUGGCAUCGGGCUAAUAUCCCGGUGUCUUGACGGUACUGCCUUAGCAAGCAUCGGCUAACUCUGUGCCAGCAGCCGCGGUAAGACAGAGGAUGCGAACGUUGCUCGGAUUUACUGGGCGUAAAGCGCGUGUAGGCGGUCUCGUUAGUCGGGUGUGAAAGCCCCGGGCUCAACCCGGGAAGUGCACCCGAUACUGCGAGACUGGGGUACUGAAGAGGAGAGCGGAAUUCCGGUGUAGAGGUGAAAUUCGUAGAUAUCGGGAGGAACACCAGUGGC